GCCUGGGUGGCUCAGUUGGUUGAGCGUCUGACUUCGGCUCAGGUCAUGGUCUCACAGUUCGUGGGUUCGAGCCCCACAUCGGGCU
Molecule: transfer RNA, 85 nt
Organism: Felis catus (domestic cat)
Lineage: Eukaryota; Metazoa; Chordata; Mammalia; Carnivora; Felidae
Rfam family: tRNA
About the family: Transfer RNA (tRNA) molecules are approximately 80 nucleotides in length.
Source: Rfam